RNAcentral lists this ribosomal RNA (253 nucleotides) under uncultured bacterium. RNAcentral's name for it is "partial 16S ribosomal RNA". It matches the Rfam family "Bacterial small subunit ribosomal RNA", at positions 524 to 776 of the family's 1533-position model. The record is from RNAcentral.
UACGUAGGGGGCAAGCGUUGUCCGGAUUUAUUGGGCGUAAAGAGCGUGUAGGCGGCCAGGGAGGUCCGUUGUGAAAACUCGAGGCUCAACCUCGAGACGUCGACGGAAACCAUCUGGCUAGAGUCCGGAAGAGGAGAGUGGAAUUCCUGGUGUAGCGGUGAAAUGCGCAGAUAUCAGGAAGAACACCCGUGGCGAAGGCGGCUCUCUGGGACGGUACUGACGCUGAGACGCGAAAGCGUGGGGAGCGAACAGG